Olea europaea var. sylvestris is the source of this 248-nucleotide long non-coding RNA. RefSeq lists it as uncharacterized. The transcript has 3 exons. The record is from RefSeq and is a predicted model, not a curated record. Lineage: Eukaryota; Viridiplantae; Streptophyta; Magnoliopsida; Lamiales; Oleaceae.
CAAGCUAUGAAAUGUGAUUAUUUGCAGGUCCAAUCAACAGUUCAAUGUUUAUAGAUUUAAUGGAGAAUAAUAAACUUCAUGUGCUACCCCAGCUAAGGAAUGUGACUUCAGUAGAGUUGGGCUGUAGUUCUCGAGGUUAUUCGCGUGCUGGCAGUGAUACCAAGAUUUGGUAUUGUGCCAUUGUUGCUGGAAGACAGAGCCAGGAACUCAAUAAAAUGCGUGAAACCAUGCGUAGCAUCCAAGAAAAA